This 72-nucleotide transfer RNA is filed under the name Camelus ferus (Wild Bactrian camel). It matches the Rfam family "tRNA". Rfam says of the family: Transfer RNA (tRNA) molecules are approximately 80 nucleotides in length. Lineage: Eukaryota; Metazoa; Chordata; Mammalia; Artiodactyla; Camelidae. The record is from Rfam by way of RNAcentral.
GAGGGUAUCUCUUAGUGGUAGAGCACUUGCUUACCAAGCAUGAGGUCCUGGGUUCAAUCCCCAGUACCCCCA